UACGUAGGGUGCAGGCGUUAAUCGGAAUUACUGGGCGUAAAGCGUGCGCAGGCGGUUUGCUAAGACAGGCGUGAAAUCCCCGGGCUUAACCUGGGAACUGCGCUUGUAACUGGCAAGCUGGAGUGUGGCAGAGGGGGGUGGAAUUCCACGUGUAGCAGUGAAAUGCGUAGAGAUGUGGAGGAACACCGAUGGCGAAGGCAGCCCCCUGGGCUAACACUGACGCUCAUGCACGAAAGCGUGGGGAGCAAACAGG
Molecule: ribosomal RNA, 253 nt
Filed under: uncultured bacterium
Lineage: Bacteria
Description: partial 16S ribosomal RNA
Rfam family: Bacterial small subunit ribosomal RNA
Source: RNAcentral